AUUGAACGCUGGCGGCAGGCUUAACACAUGCAAGUCGAACGAGUGGCGGACGGGUGAGUAAUGUCUGGGAAACUGCCUGAUGGAGGGGGAUAACCACUGGAAACGGUAGCUAAUACCGCAUACCAUCAGAUGUGCCCAGCUGGGAUUAGCUAGUAGGUGGGGUAAGGGCUCACCAGGGGGACGAUCCCCAACUGGUCUGAGAGGAUGACCAGCCACACUGGAACUGAGACACGGUCCAGACUCCUAGGGUAGGCAGAAGGGGGGAAUAUUGGACAAUGGGCGCAAGCCUGAUGCAGCCAUGCCGCGUGUGUGAAGAAGGCCUUCGGGUUGUAAAGUACUUUCAGCGGGGAGGCGGUACCCGCAGAAGAAGCACCGGCUAACUCCGUGCCAGCAGCCGCGGUAAUUC
RNAcentral lists this ribosomal RNA (406 nucleotides) under uncultured bacterium. RNAcentral's name for it is "partial 16S ribosomal RNA". It matches the Rfam family "Bacterial small subunit ribosomal RNA", at positions 29 to 526 of the family's 1533-position model. The record is from RNAcentral.